AGAAACUUAGGAUAAUCUAAACCGAAGGCCUUCAAAGCCUUAAACAAGAGUUGAACCCUCUUAGUUUCUG
This 70-nucleotide transfer RNA is filed under the name Rhagologus leucostigma. Its description in RNAcentral is "tRNA-Trp". It matches the Rfam family "tRNA". From Rfam's summary of the family: Transfer RNA (tRNA) molecules are approximately 80 nucleotides in length. Their secondary structure includes four short double-helical elements and three loops (D, anti-codon, and T loops). Further hydrogen bonds mediate the characteristic L-shaped molecular structure. tRNAs have two regions of fundamental functional importance: the anti-codon, which is responsible for specific mRNA codon recognition, and the 3' end, to which the tRNAs corresponding amino acid is attached (by aminoacyl-tRNA synthetases). tRNAs cope with the degeneracy of the genetic code in two manners: having more than one tRNA (with a specific anti-codon) for a particular amino acid; and 'wobble' base-pairing, i.e. permitting non-standard base-pairing at the 3rd anti-codon position. The record is from RNAcentral. Lineage: Eukaryota; Metazoa; Chordata; Aves; Passeriformes.